Small nuclear RNA from Portunus trituberculatus (swimming crab), 116 nucleotides. RefSeq annotates it as U5 spliceosomal RNA. The transcript has a single exon. Lineage: Eukaryota; Metazoa; Arthropoda; Malacostraca; Decapoda; Portunidae. The record is from RefSeq and is a predicted model, not a curated record.
AAACUCUGGUUUCCCUUCAAAACGCAGAAAUCUUUCGCCUUUUACUAAAGAUUUCCGUGGAGGGGAGCAACUCAAUGAGUCUUAAGGCUAUUAGGGGCCGCCGUGGUACAGUGGAA